This 475-nucleotide ribosomal RNA is filed under the name Diloa antipodialis. RNAcentral describes it as "eukaryotic LSU rRNA". The record is from RNAcentral. Lineage: Eukaryota; Metazoa; Arthropoda; Insecta; Hymenoptera; Ichneumonidae.
CCUGAGAAACCCAAAAGAUCGAAUGGGGAGAUUCAUCGUCAGCGAUUUUGGUACGUGUGCGGUCUCGCGAUGCCGGUGACUUCUUGUCCCAAGGCACGCGUCCGCAUAUUUUUUACUGCCUCGAUCGCCGGCGUGCACUUCUUCCCUAGUAGGACGUCGCGACCCGUUGGGUGUCGGUCUACGGCCCGGGUGGUAGCCUGUCUCGUGUGCGCUUCGCGGCGUUACGCGGUUCAGACCCCUGGNNNNNNNNCCGGCUGCCCGGCGGUAUUCGCACGGUAUCUGGCCGCAAAUAUUCGAACUGCGUCCGGCCCGUCGCAAGCGCGACAAGUGUUUCCCGGUUGUACGGAUCCAAUGCCGUCACCGGGACCUUGUCAGCUGUUGGUUGACGGUGUCCUAGGACUGGCUAAUACAAUUAUGAUACCGGUCGGCGACGCUACUGCUUUGGGUACUUUCAGGACCCGUCUUGAAACACGGA